RNAcentral lists this long non-coding RNA (550 nucleotides) under Citrus sinensis (sweet orange). RNAcentral's name for it is "long non-coding RNA (CSIN_LNC005380)". The record is from RNAcentral. Lineage: Eukaryota; Viridiplantae; Streptophyta; Magnoliopsida; Sapindales; Rutaceae.
UGCAGAAGUCUCGUGAGACUUCCUAGCAGUAUAAAUGGUUUGAAAUCCCUCAAAACUUUGAAUCUCUCAGGCUGCUUCAAACUUGAAAAUGUGCCUGAGACGCUUGGGCAAGUAGAAAGUUUGGAAAAACUUGAUAUAAGUGGUACAGCUAUAAGGCAACCUCAAUCGUCAAUUUUUCUUAUGAAGAAUCUUAGAGAACUAUAUUGUCGUGGGUGCAAAGGAUCACCAUCAUCUGCAUCAUGGUUUCUGCGCUUCCCUAUCAAUUUGAUGCGAUGGAGUUCAUGAAUGACUGCAGAAGUCUCGUGAGACUUCCUAGCAGUAUAAAUGGUUUGAAAUCCCUCAAAACUUUGAAUCUCUCAGGCUGCUUCAAACUUGAAAAUGUGCCUGAGACGCUUGGGCAAGUAGAAAGUUUGGAAAAACUUGAUAUAAGUGGUACAGCUAUAAGGCAACCUCCAUCGUCGAUUUUUCUUAUGAAGAAUCUUAAAGGACUAUCUUGUCGUGGGUGCAAAGGAUCACCAUCAUCUGCAUCAUGGUUUCUGCGCUUUCCUAU